This 254-nucleotide ribosomal RNA is filed under the name uncultured bacterium. RNAcentral describes it as "partial 16S ribosomal RNA". It matches the Rfam family "Bacterial small subunit ribosomal RNA", at positions 524 to 776 of the family's 1533-position model. The record is from RNAcentral.
CACGUAGGGGGCAAGCGUUGUCCGGAAUUAUUGGGCGUAAAGAGCUCGUAGGCGGUGUGUCACGUCGGCCGUGAAAACCUGCAGCUUAACUGUGGGCGUGCGGUCGAUACGGGCAUCACUGGAGUUCGGCAGGGGAGACUGGAAUUCCUGGUGUAGCGGUGAAAUGCGCAGAUAUCAGGAGGAACACCGGUGGCGAAGGCGGGUCUCUGGGCCGAUACUGACGCUGAGGAGCGAAAGCGUGGGGAGCAAACAGG